This 1296-nucleotide long non-coding RNA is filed under the name Vitis vinifera (wine grape). RNAcentral describes it as "long non-coding RNA (VVIN_LNC007988)". The record is from RNAcentral. Lineage: Eukaryota; Viridiplantae; Streptophyta; Magnoliopsida; Vitales; Vitaceae.
GUAGCUCGCUUCUGGGCGGAUCUGGCUCGAGCGAGUAGCUGAGCCCCUUGGACGAAGUGACGGUUGGCUUGGACCGUAGCUCGGUUCUUGAGACGGAGCUUGGCUAGGGCUUGUUUGGGGAGCUUGUACAUAGCAACGAAUAUAACUAGGGUUAGGAUCAGAAGCCCCGCUUGUACAAGAACAUCGGGAGCCAUGCUUCCAAACAAUCCCACAAACCCUUUCCGAGUAUGAUGAUAGGACUAGAAGCAGCCAAGCAGGAGCAGGUAAAUGGCUGUAAAAGGGCCUUUCGAUGGACGAGGGCCCAACUCAUUUGAUCCAGUGCAACCGGACCCACCUAACUAGUGUUGUGGACCCUAUUGUUGCAGCCCAGUUGCCAAAUAGUUUGUGUGACAGGCUGACAGCCAACACACUUAAGAAAACAACCUAGUUUUUAGCGACUCAUGAACCCUAGCCCACUUCCACUCUAAAUUUCACCUUCUGUUUAUGCUUGUCACAUAUUUUGAAUAUCUUUUCCUCUAGUUUGUUUGAUUUGUCAAAUAUUUUUUUUUUAAAAAAACAUGGUAUAAUGCACAAAUAUUACAAAUAUUGCUAAUAAAGGAAAUUAGGGAACAUGCCCCGACAUUUAUUUUUCCUUAGAUAUCAUGUUAAAAUAGUGAACUUAUAAUGUUGUAUUUAAAUAAAGACUUUUGGGAAUGAGACGUAUAAUGGAAUUGGUUCAUGAAGCUAACAUCUUUUCUUCAAUUUCUUUUAGUCCCUAAAUCUUCAUUGUUUACCCAUCCUGAGUGGGUCAGUUUCCCACUUCACAAUCACAAAUAUUUACAACCAUGAUGGAUGACCGAGAAGCAUAGCAAAUAAACAUAAAAUUUCUAAUCUGUAUGCAAUACAACUACACACCAUCCGCAUAUGCUUCUUCUCUUAUAUGCUUGUGCAUUGUUCAUAUGCUUCCUCGGCUAGUCUUCUCUACACAACAAUACAUCCCCUAGGAAAACCAAUACAACUUUUUGGUUUUGGGAUGCUAAGACUUAAUUCUAUCUUAACUGGUGUGGCAUAUAUUGUAGGGCCACACCAUUCUAAACUUUCACACUGAUAACUGCACAAAAGCAGCAGCAACAACAAUGGUGAAGAAGGUAUGCACCAAGGGGUCAUUCCAGAACCAGCUCCAUAUGGCGAUUGAGAUCCCUCAGAUAGCUAGUAGGGGUAUAGUCUGCCAAGUCAGAGUCAUCUAAAAUGAGGGCUCUCCCCACAUUGGACUUCUGCUUUGGUUCUGGUGAUUUGCCCUCUCCCCUCAGUAGCUGC